GAUGAAGAACGUAGUGAAAUGCGAUAAGUAAUGCGAAUUGCAGAAUUCAGUGAAUCAUCGAAUCUUUGAACGCACAUUGCGCCCGCCAGUAUUCUGGCGGGCAUGCCUGUCUGAGCCUCGUUUCGACCCUCGCGCCCGGCUUCUGUCGGGGGCGGUGUUGGGGAUCGGCCACACCCUUCAGUGGGAGGCCGGCCCCUAAAUUCAGUGGCGACCACGCUGUAGCCUCCCCUGCGUAGUACUAAAACCACCUCGCAGGCGGAGAGCGGUGCGGCCCGCCGUAAAACCCCCCAACUUUUACAAGGUCGACCUCAGAUCAGGUAGGAAUACCCGCUGAACUUAAGCAUAUCAAUAAGCGGAGGA
RNAcentral lists this unclassified non-coding RNA (360 nucleotides) under soil metagenome. RNAcentral describes it as "partial contains 5.8S ribosomal RNA, internal transcribed spacer 2, and large subunit ribosomal RNA". The stretch from base 1 to 120 matches the Rfam family "5.8S ribosomal RNA", at positions 35 to 154 of the family's 154-position model. The record is from RNAcentral.